This 802-nucleotide long non-coding RNA is filed under the name Mytilus galloprovincialis (Mediterranean mussel). The record is from RNAcentral. Lineage: Eukaryota; Metazoa; Mollusca; Bivalvia; Mytilida; Mytilidae.
CUUCAUUUCUGUAAGGCAGAAAAUUGAGGCUAUUUGUUUUCUGAAUUCUAUAGAAAUCAAAAGAGGUGGUAUGUAAGUGUCGAUGAGACAUUAACUCUCUAUCCAAGUCACAAUUUGUAAAAAGUAAACAAUUGUAGGUCAAAGAAAGGCCUUCAUCACUGAGCCCUGGCUCACACCGAACAGCAAGCUAUAAAGGGUCCUGGAAUUUGACUAUAGUGUUUUAAAACAAUUCAAACAGAAAACUAAAAAUCUAAUAUAUACAAAAAAAACCAAGACUAUCUUAAGAAACACUUACAAACCACAUCAACAAACGACAAGCACUGAACAACUUCCUGACAUAGGACAAAAGCAAAAUAAAACACAUCAACAAACGACAAGCACUGAACAAGUUCCUGACAUAGGACAAAAGCAAACAGAUAUGUAUUUUUGCUCAUUACUCUUUAUUCCUUAUGUUUUAAAACCUAAUUAUUCUUUAUUCUUGCAUUUUUUUUUGGUUCAAUUUUCUCUUCAUUUUUUUGCCCUUUAUUCUGAGCUUUUUGUCCAUUCUUCCAUAUUCUGUAAACUCCAUUCAGACCCUUAUAAUUACAAGUUACCUUGUUGCUAAAAGCCAAAAAAUAGAAACCGAUUAAACACUGUGUCAUGAAUGUAUUUAUGAACCGCUUUUCAAAAGUCUUUAAUUCAUUUCAAAGCUUUUACUACGAAGAAAAAUAUUAUGUAACAUCCCAUUAGAAUACAAAUACAACUUUUUAGAAAAUUACCCUUUUUAUUUUGAAUGACUUAACAAAAUUGAUCAUCUUGGUAA